GAUUGAGCAAUGUGAAGUGUAUAAAUUCAUCAUUCUACGGAAUGGUGAACAAGGACACACGCAUUGUUUUUCCAGCUCUCGAGAAGUUCACAUUGUAUUUCAAUGCCUAAGCUGGCAGAGUGGGCAGAAAUAGAAAUUUCGGAUGGAAGUGAAGUGAAGCUAUUUCCUCGCCUCCAACAUUUGAGAAUUCAUGAUUGUGAGCAAUUGAUGAGUGUUCCAAGUCAUGUCUCGUCAUGCCUUGAAGAAUUGAUAAUUUGUGAGAUCGGUGUGGAAUGUCUGCCAGCUGAUUGGUUAUUGAGUAACAAUCGGACUCUCUCUUCUUUGUGGAUAUGGAAAUGCCCGAAUUUGAGAGAAAUAUCAGAUAGGUGGGGAGAAGAAGAAUCAGAAGGAAGAAGCUUCACAAUCACAUCCCUCCCUAUAUUCCCUCGUCUAACAUUUUUGAGAAUCAAAGACGUUCCUAAGUUAAGUUUGGAGACUGUGGAUGGCAUAUUGCAAGGAUGCUGCCACUCACUUAAUGAGUUAUAUUUGAAGGGGAUGGAAAGUUGGGAAUGGCUGCCGGAAUCAAUUCAACAUCUUACAUCUCUUUCUGAGUUAUCCUUAAAGGAUUUUGGAAUGGAAGAGUUACCUGAAUGGUUAGGGAAUCUCUCAUCUCUAAAGUAAUUGAAUUUAGAUAACUGCAAAAGGCUAAGGCGUCUACCAUCUAUGGAUGCAAUGCGGCGCCUCACAACAUUAAAAGUACUAGAUAUUAGUGGUUGCCCAGAAUUAGUGAUUAAAAGUGAGGCAGCUGAUUCUGAAUGGCCCAAGCUUUCCCAUAUCCCCCGCAUCAAAAUUGAUGGUGCCAUAUACGGUGACGGUGAGUAUCAAUAUCUUUUCUAGAAACAGUUGUAUGUGUAUUUUAUUUGAUUUUUUUUUCUUUCAAAUUAUCAGAAAUUGAAGUAGCCCUGCAAAAUCUACUAUCUUAUUCUAUGGAGUUUCUAAUUCAGUUGCUAUUAAUUUGGGGAUUGAGAUUUAUUUAUAUUUUUAUAUAUUUUUCUCUAAUUUCAACAAUGAAUGCUUUAGUUUAAUUUUGUGAUUAUUAAUUGGGCUUCAUUCCAUCUAAUUAGGGUUUAUAAUUAUUUUUAAUCAUUUAAUUUCUCUUUCAUUAGUUAAUAAUAGGUUGAAAAAUUCAAAAUUAUGGUAUAUAAUUUUAUAAAAAUUUAAUUUUUUUGAAAUAAAUAUUAAGAAUAAUUCAUAGUAUUAUAAUUUUAUUUUUAUAAAAAAUAUUAUUAAACUAAUAGAUAUAAGUAUGAGACAUAGUUACAUAUAUAAAAUUGUGGGACAAUUGAUCUCAUCCCUUAGUUUGUUGCUUAAACAAUAGGGGAUACAUUAUUUUGAGUUUGUUUACUAUAUUUUUACAGCGACUUAUCAUCUUAGCUUUUUUUUUCCAUUAAAUACUUCUUUUUCGUAUUGAUACAUAAUAAAGUGAAAGAAGCAAACAGUUGUGUUUGAGGUGCCUCCAAAGAAUUAGGAGGUGAAGGAAGCGAUCCAGUGAAGAAGGAAUAAGUGAGUAUCCAUUUUCUCCAUCAUGACUUGCUCAACCUCUUUUCAUAAUUUUUUUUGUAAUUUCAUAUAUAUUCUUUGUUUGAACUUUAAUUGAUAGGAUUAUUAUGUCUAGGGUUGAAGAAAAUGCAUGUUUCGAUACCAAUUUGUUUCACAAUUGAUAUGAUUCUCAAAGACUCAAACUUCAUUGAUCAUUAUAAGGAAUUAUUUUGAGUAGAUCACUUCUAUAUCUAUAGAAACAGUUGUGCCUAAACUAAGGAUUCACAUCACUAUUUAUGCCCAUACACACAAAAGUGGUAAGAAUUCACAACCAAGUUUAUGCAAAGGAGAUCAAAUCAUUUAGCUCGCUUGCCAUUUCCUAUUUUAUGUUAAUUUUAAUUUUCCUAAUUAUAAAAAGUUGUAGUGUUUACUAGCUCCAAGGUUGCAAAUGCGAAUUAGGAAAGCAAAACAAAACAAAACAAAAAUGAAACGAAAAAGCAAGACGUAUGCAAUGUUUGUUAAUCUCAUCUCAUGUUGGGCUUGGUUGAAUAAAUUCUGCUUUAUAAAUAAAUUAUGAUAAGAGAGUGAUUUUUAAUUCGAAUUCAAGUGAAAUAUCUUUUCAAUAAUCUAAAUUCAGAGGCGCUAACGAGCUUGCUCGUGGGGAAGAACGACGACUGUGUAGUUGUUGAGUCUGAAGAGAAGGAUGAUGACAAAAAUUCAGACAGCAUUGUUGAAGAUGAAGAUAGAGAAACAGAGGAUUCAGCAGCUGUGGAAGUUGAAUCCAGUCCCAGCAAAAAGGGAGGUAGCCAGCUUUUUCCAUUUCUUGAUGAAUGAAUGCCUAUUUCUAUGUUAAUAUUGAUGCUUUCUAGGUUGAAUUUGAUGAUUGAAUGGAAGAGUUACCUGAAUGGUGUGCAAGCCUCUCAUCUCUAGAGCACUUAUCUUUAUGUUACUGCAAAAGGCUAAGGCGUCUACCAUCUAUGGACGCAAU
Molecule: long non-coding RNA, 2506 nt
Filed under: Salvia miltiorrhiza (redroot sage)
Lineage: Eukaryota; Viridiplantae; Streptophyta; Magnoliopsida; Lamiales; Lamiaceae
Description: long non-coding RNA (SMIL_LNC005590)
Source: RNAcentral